This is a long non-coding RNA of Glycine soja, 471 nucleotides long. RefSeq lists it as uncharacterized. Lineage: Eukaryota; Viridiplantae; Streptophyta; Magnoliopsida; Fabales; Fabaceae. The transcript is spliced from 3 exons. The record is from RefSeq and is a predicted model, not a curated record.
UCGCGCUCCCAUGACUUUUGUGCGAACCUAGCUACCUCCCUCAUUUUCUUUCAUCCCAACCUAGCUCCCUCAUCCCCACUAUUAUCUAGCUUUCGUGCCGCCGUAUCUCGUGCCCGUUGUUUGAGUGCCAUCGAAGGUCCCCCGCAUUGUCUCCCCAUAAUAGGUUUUAUAGAAACUUGAAGGCGUGGUGGGCUAAUUUCAAGUCAGAGGAGGUGUUCAUGUUUAGGUUAUCAAGGCCAAAAAGACAAGGCUUCGACGUGCCCAGAAGACCAAUAUAUGCUCAUUAUUCUACUGCAUUGGAAUUCUAGUUGUGUUAACCGGUGAUUACUUGUUGUAUGUUGGACCAUUGGAUUGCGCCUUGCUGGUUUGUUGGAUAACUGUGAUAGCAUGAUGCAAACACUAAGAGACAACUAACAUAGAUGUUUCACAAAUUUUGGAAGGCAAGUGAUUUAUUUAGUUACACUUUUUUAC